This 1212-nucleotide unclassified non-coding RNA is filed under the name Leishmania donovani. RNAcentral describes it as "gene:LdHU3.36.7840(CDS-product:hypothetical_prote in_conserved)". Lineage: Eukaryota; Euglenozoa; Kinetoplastea; Trypanosomatida; Trypanosomatidae. The record is from RNAcentral.
UCACGUCUGUACGGAAAACAGGGCGAGGUACGGGCGCGCCUGCUUGUUGUUGUUCUUCCUGUUUAGCUGUCUCUCCGUGUCUCACAUGUCUCACUACAACACGGGCAUCGGCAACAAUGUGCCGUCUCUUCUUGACAUGUGCAGCGGUUUAACCGCGUUCUUGGUGGACUUCAUUCAAGUUGUGCUUGGCCAAACGCAGACAAGUUUCCAGGCGGCGGCGCCCGAGGACAGCGACCCGGGCGUGUACGACCCCGAUACGCGAAGUUGGUCCGGCACGGAUGGGCUACGGUACCGGGUUCCUCUCUUUUCGAUCCCUAGCGAGCGUCACACGCGCGAGAAAGUGCGCAACGUGAAGAUCUUGAUGGACAACUGCCGCCACAUCUGCAUGUCAGACGAGCUGCCGGCGACCAAGGAAGAGAAGAGGUUCUGGGCCUCGUACCGGUUCAUCCAGUACCAGCUGUUUCUGGCCCCUGCCUGCGUUGUGGCGCCGCCCGUGUACGUCUUCUUUAAAGUGUUUCAUGACAAGCUGCCACGCUUUCUCCGCGGCCGCACGAUGCCCAUCUUGACUGGCCUCGCCGUCGCCGAGAUGUGGGCGGAGGCGACCUACCCGAGUCACCAGCUACUAUCCACGGCGCUGCGCGCCAAGACGCCCAUGGGCGAUGCGGCGCGGGCAGAGUGGACACGCCUGCAGCCCAUCGAUAUCCCCUUUUACAUAUUCAGCUCCUACCAAUUUCAGCAGCUCUUCAACUCUGUGCCGGAGGAGUAUCUCUUCGGCGGGGAUUUGGCCUCGCUCUGCGGUUGAGAUCUGACUUGAGGCGAGUCGAGCAACGAAGCCAGACGCCACCGAGGAAGCGAGGCUUAUGUACGUGUGGGGCGAUGACGCGGAUCCCCGUGCGGCGAACCUCGGCGUUGCUCGUCGUACUUUGGACGUUCGAUUUGAAUGCGUGCCGGCGCACACGGAUGGUCGGAAGUGUGCGCAAGGCUCGCCAUUCUCACGUUGUCUGUCUACGUGGAACGUCGUCUUUGUGUCUGCCUGUCCUGUCUGCACCCGUGCGUCGCCCUUUCUCCCGCCCUCUCUCUAUGCAUAGGCAUGCGCGUGUGCGCGAGGUGGGAGGGUGAUGGGGAGGGAGCCUCGAGAGGCGCGGAGACGCGGUUACUUCUCACCAAUUAAACGUGCGCGCUAACCAGGCAUGAUGUGCCUGGCAACGAAGG